GCCGGCGUAGCUCAGUUGGUAGAGCACGUCAUUCGUAAUGAUGGGGUCGGGAGUUCGAAUCUCUUCGCCGGCACCA
Molecule: transfer RNA, 76 nt
Filed under: Acetobacter musti
Lineage: Bacteria; Pseudomonadati; Pseudomonadota; Alphaproteobacteria; Acetobacterales; Acetobacteraceae
Also listed under: 1 other name
Description: tRNA-Thr
Rfam family: tRNA
About the family: Transfer RNA (tRNA) molecules are approximately 80 nucleotides in length.
Source: RNAcentral